GCUAUCGACAGGCUUAACACAUGCAAGUCGAGGGGCAGCACAGGUAGCAAUACCGGGUGGCGACCGGCGCACGGGUGAGUAACGCGUAUGCAACUUACCUAUCAGAGGGGGAUAACCCGGCGAAAGUCGGACUAAUACCGCAUGAAGCAGGGGCCCCGCAUGGGGAUAUUUGCUAAAGAUUCAUCGCUGAUAGAUAGGCAUGCGUUCCAUUAGGCAGUUGGCGGGGUAACGGCCCACCAAACCGACGAUGGAUAGGGGUUCUGAGAGGAAGGUCCCCCACAUUGGUACUGAGACACGGACCAAACUCCUACGGGAGGCAGCAGUGAGGAAUAUUGGUCAAUGGCCGAGAGGCUGAACCAGCCAAGUCGCGUGAGGGAUGAAGGUUCUAUGGAUCGUAAACCUCUUUUAUAAGGGAAUAAAGUGCGGGACGUGUCCCGUUUUGUAUGUACCUUAUGAAUAAGGAUCGGCUAACUCCGUGCCAGCAGCCGCGGUAAUACGGAGGAUCCGAGCGUUAUCCGGAUUUAUUGGGUUUAAAGGGUGCGUAGGCGGCCUUUUAAGUCAGCGGUGAAAGUCUGUGGCUCAACCAUAGAAUUGCCGUUGAAACUGGGAGGCUUGAGUAUGUUUGAGGCAGGCGGAAUGCGUGGUGUAGCGGUGAAAUGCAUAGAUAUCACGCAGAACCCCGAUUGCGAAGGCAGCCUGCCAAGCCAUUACUGACGCUGAUGCACGAAAGCGUGGGGAUCAAACAGGAUUAGAUACCCUGGUAGUCCACGCAGUAAACGAUGAUCACUAGCUGUUUGCGAUACACUGUAAGCGGCACAGCGAAAGCGUUAAGUGAUCCACCUGGGGAGUACGCCGGCAACGGUGAAACUCAAAGGAAUUGACGGGGGCCCGCACAAGCGGAGGAACAUGUGGUUUAAUUCGAUGAUACGCGAGGAACCUUACCCGGGUUUGAACGCAUUCGGACCGAGGUGGAAACACCUUUUCUAGCAAUAGCCGUUUGCGAGGUGCUGCAUGGUUGUCGUCAGCUCGUGCCGUGAGGUGUCGGCUUAAGUGCCAUAACGAGCGCAACCCUUGCCACUAGUUACUAACAGGUAAAGCUGAGGACUCUGGUGGGACUGCCAGCGUAAGCUGCGAGGAAGGCGGGGAUGACGUCAAAUCAGCACGGCCCUUACAUCCGGGGCGACACACGUGUUACAAUGGCGUGGACAAAGGGAAGCCACCUGGCGACAGGGAGCGAAUCCCCAAACCACGUCUCAGUUCGGAUCGGAGUCUGCAACCCGACUCCGUGAAGCUGGAUUCGCUAGUAAUCGCGCAUCAGCCAUGGCGCGGUGAAUACGUUCCCGGGCCUUGUACACACCGCCCGUCAAGCCAUGGGAGCCGGGGGUACCUGAAGUCCGUAACCGCGAGGAUCGGCCUAGGGUAAAACUGGUGACUGG
RNAcentral lists this ribosomal RNA (1436 nucleotides) under uncultured organism. Its description in RNAcentral is "SSU rRNA". It matches the Rfam family "Bacterial small subunit ribosomal RNA". The record is from RNAcentral.